AUGGAUCAGGCUCCCCAUGGCGCCGCCGCUUCGCUAGACCUGUCCCUCUCGCUUGCCCCCAUGAGACCACCACCACCAUCAGCACCCCGAUCCUCCUUCUUUUGGGCUGAAGGAGACGCCGCUGCCGGCCACGGCGGCCAUGGUGGCCGUGACGGCGAAGCGAGAUCGAGGCGGCUGUUCUCGUGCCUCUUCUGCGACAAGAAGUUCCUCAAGUCGCAGGCGUUGGGGGGCCACCAGAAUGUGCACAAGAAGGAGCGGGCCGGCAGCUGGAACCCCCACCUCUACCUCCAAUCCGACGACGGCGACCAGCCGGCCGCGGCGGCGGCAAAGGAGCCGGCGAGAUGGCCAACCGCGCGCCAUGGCAACGACGGCGAGAAGCAGAUGCAGCAGCAGCAGCAGCUUGAUCUCAACCUCAAGCUUUAA
Molecule: ribosomal RNA, 423 nt
Filed under: Triticum aestivum (bread wheat)
Lineage: Eukaryota; Viridiplantae; Streptophyta; Magnoliopsida; Poales; Poaceae
Description: partial small subunit ribosomal RNA
Source: RNAcentral